AACGCUAGCUACAGGCUUAACACAUGCAAGUCGAGGGGUAACAAGAGAAAAGCUUGCUUUCCUUGUUGACGACCGGCGCACGGGUGAGUAACGCGUAUCCAACCUGCCUAUAACUAGGGAAUAACCUUGCGAAAGUAAGACUAAUACCCUAUGAUUUCCUUUGAUGACAUCAGAUUAGGAAUAAAGAUUUAUCGGUUAUAGAUGGGGAUGCGUCUGAUUAGCUUGUUGGCGGGGUAACGGCCCACCAAGGCAACGAUCAGUAGGGGUUCUGAGAGGAAGGUCCCCCACAUUGGAACUGAGACACGGUCCAAACUCCUACGGGAGGCAGCAGUGAGGAAUAUUGGUCAAUGGGCGGAAGCCUGAACCAGCCAAGUAGCGUGCAGGAUGACGGCCCUAUGGGUUGUAAACUGCUUUUAUACAGGAAUAAAGUUAGCCACGUGUGGUUAUUUGUAGGUACUGUAUGAAUAAGGACCGGCUAAUUCCGUGCCAGCAGCCGCGGUAAUACGGAAGGUCCAGGCGUUAUCCGGAUUUAUUGGGUUUAAAGGGAGCGUAGGCCGUCUGUUAAGCGUGUUGUGAAAUGUAGAUGCUCAACAUCUGAAUUGCAGCGCGAACUGGCAGACUUGAGUGUGCGCAACGUAGGCGGAAUUCGUGUGUAGCGGUGAAAUGCUUAGAUAUCACGAAGAACUCCGAUUG
RNAcentral lists this ribosomal RNA (693 nucleotides) under uncultured bacterium. Its description in RNAcentral is "bacterial SSU rRNA". It matches the Rfam family "Bacterial small subunit ribosomal RNA", at positions 32 to 715 of the family's 1533-position model. The record is from RNAcentral.